UCUCCCACAUCUACCACCAUCUCCCACCACCACCACAACCAUCCGCCACCACCUCAUUCUUCACCGAUAACUGAUCUACAAAGAACCACCACCCUAACUUGCCCCUCUCUCCUCAUCAAAACCCACCACAACCGCCAUCAUCUAACUACCACACAUUGCCUGAACCGACACCAUCUCUCUCCCUCUCUCUCGCAUGCAACCAUUACCUUGUUCAUAACUAAGAUCUGUAAAACACCUGUCAUGCAGGUGUCCCUAAAAGUUUCUUUGUUUUCAGACUUCAUCUUAACAACCGUCAGAUCAAAUUGCAGAUUUAGAAACGAGCACUUGAGUGUCAUCAUUGAACCGUGAAGAACGCGCACGAUUUAUGGCAGGGAGAGUAUUGGAGUUAACACUCCGAAUUGAAAAUCAAGAUAUACACAA
RNAcentral lists this long non-coding RNA (420 nucleotides) under Helianthus annuus (common sunflower). RNAcentral's name for it is "sRNA HanXRQr2_Chr14g0660891". The record is from RNAcentral. Lineage: Eukaryota; Viridiplantae; Streptophyta; Magnoliopsida; Asterales; Asteraceae.